RNAcentral lists this ribosomal RNA (383 nucleotides) under uncultured eukaryote. RNAcentral's name for it is "partial 18S ribosomal RNA". It matches the Rfam family "Eukaryotic small subunit ribosomal RNA", at positions 592 to 976 of the family's 1831-position model. The record is from RNAcentral.
CAAUAGCGUAUAUUAAAGUUGUUGCAGUUAAAAAGCUCGUAGUUGGAUUUCUGGUGGGAGCGAUCGGUCUGGCGCUUAGCGCGAGUACUUGCAUCGUCUCCGGCCAUCCUUGGGGAGAGUCUGUCUGGCAUUAGGUUGUCGGGCAGAGGAUCCUCAUCGUUUACUGUGAAAAAAUUAGAGUGUUCAAAGCAGGCUUAUGCCGUUGAAUAUAUUAGCAUGGUAUAAUAAGAUAGGACUUUGGUACUAUUUUGUUGGUUUGCGCACCAAAGUAAUGAUUAAUAGGGACAGUUGGGGGUAUUCGUAUUCCGUUGUCAGAGGUGAAAUUCUUGGAUUUACGGAAGACGAACUACUGCGAAAGCAUUUACCAAGGAUGUUUUCAUUAA